This 1433-nucleotide ribosomal RNA is filed under the name uncultured organism. Its description in RNAcentral is "SSU rRNA". It matches the Rfam family "Bacterial small subunit ribosomal RNA". The record is from RNAcentral.
CGCUAGCUACAGGCUUAACACAUGCAAGUCGAGGGGCAGCAUGGUCUUAGCUUGCUAAGGCCGAUGGCGACCGGCGCACGGGUGAGUAACGCGUAUCCAACCUGCCUUACACUCUUGGACAGCCUUCUGAAAGGGAGAUUAAUACAAGAUGUUAUCAUGAGUAAGCAUUUUCGCAUGAUUAAAGGUUUACCGGUGUAAGAUGGGGAUGCGUUCCAUUAGAUAGUAGGCGGGGUAACGGCCCACCUAGUCUUCGAUGGAUAGGGGUUCUGAGAGGAAGGUCCCCCACAUUGGAACUGAGACACGGUCCAAACUCCUACGGGAGGCAGCAGUGAGGAAUAUUGGUCAAUGGACGAGAGUCUGAACCAGCCAAGUAGCGUGAAGGAUGAAGGUUCUAUGGAUUGUAAACUUCUUUUAUACGGGAAUAAACGAAUCCACGCGUGGAUUUUUGCAUGUACCGUAUGAAUAAGGAUCGGCUAACUCCGUGCCAGCAGCCGCGGUAAUACGGAGGAUCCGAGCGUUAUCCGGAUUUAUUGGGUUUAAAGGGAGCGUAGAUGGGUUGUUAAGUCAGUUGUGAAAGUUUGCGGCUCAACCGUAAAAUUGCAAUUGAUACUGGCAGUCUUGAGUACAGUUGAGGUAGGCGGAAUUCGUGGUGUAGCGGUGAAAUGCUUAGAUAUCACGAAGAACUCCGAUUGCGAAGGCAGCUUACUAACCUGUAACUGACAUUGAUGCUCGAAAGUGUGGGUAUCAAACAGGAUUAGAUACCCUGGUAGUCCACACGGUAAACGAUGAAUACUCGCUGUAGGCGAUAUACAGUCUGCGGCCAAGCGAAAGCAUUAAGUAUUCCACCUGGGGAGUACGCCGGCAACGGUGAAACUCAAAGGAAUUGACGGGGGCCCGCACAAGCGGAGGAACAUGUGGUUUAAUUCGAUGAUACGCGAGGAACCUUACCCGGGCUUAAAUUGCAACCGAAUAUGGCGGAAACGCUAUAGCUAGCAAUAGCGGUUGUGAAGGUGCUGCAUGGUUGUCGUCAGCUCGUGCCGUGAGGUGUCGGCUUAAGUGCCAUAACGAGCGCAACCCUUGCCGAUAGUUACUAACAGGUUAUGCUGAGGACUCUGUCGGGACUGCCAUCGUAAGAUGUGAGGAAGGUGGGGAUGACGUCAAAUCAGCACGGCCCUUACGUCCGGGGCUACACACGUGUUACAAUGGGGGGUACAGAGGGCUGCUACCACGCAAGUGGAUGCCAAUCCCAAAAACCUCUCUCAGUUCGGAUUGAAGUCUGCAACCCGACUUCAUGAAGCUGGAUUCGCUAGUAAUCGCGCAUCAGCCACGGCGCGGUGAAUACGUUCCCGGGCCUUGUACACACCGCCCGUCAAGCCAUGGGAGCCGGGGGUACCUGAAGUGCGUAACCGCAAGGAGCGCCCUAGGGUAAAACU